CGGAGGAUCCAAGCGUUAUCCGGAAUCAUUGGGUUUAGAGGGUCCGUAGGCGGGUUUAUAAGUCAGUGGUGAAAGCCCAUCGCUCAACGAUGGAACGGCCAUUGAUACUGUAGAUCUUGAAUUAUUAGGAAGUAACUAGAAUAUGUAGUGUAGCGGUGAAAUGCUUAGAGAUUACAUGGAAUACCAAUUGCGAAGGCAGGUUACUACUAAUAUAUUGACGCUGAUGGACGAAAGCGUGGGGAGCGAACAGGAUUAGAUACCCUGGUAGUCCACGCCGUAAACGAUGGAUACUAGCUGUUCGGAGCAAUCUGAGUGGCUAAGCGAAAGUGAUAAGUAUCCCACCUGGGGAGUACGUUCGCAAGAAUG
RNAcentral lists this ribosomal RNA (366 nucleotides) under uncultured organism. RNAcentral's name for it is "bacterial SSU rRNA". It matches the Rfam family "Bacterial small subunit ribosomal RNA", at positions 526 to 896 of the family's 1533-position model. The record is from RNAcentral.